Molecule: ribosomal RNA, 624 nt
Filed under: uncultured organism
Description: bacterial SSU rRNA
Rfam family: Bacterial small subunit ribosomal RNA
Source: RNAcentral
GGCCAUUCGCUUUAAGAUGAGCCUACGGCGGAUUAGCUUGUUGGUAAGGUAAUGGCCUACCAAGGCAACGAUCCGUAGCUGGUCUGAGAGGACGAUCAGCCACACUGGGACUGAGAUACGGCCCAGACUCCUACGGGAGGCAGCAGUGGGGAAUAUUGGACAAUGGGCGAAAGCCUGAUCCAGCAAUGCCGCGUGUGUGAUGAAGGCCUGCGGGUUGUAAAGCACUUUCAGUGGGGAAGAAAUGCUCAAGGCUAAUAUCCUUGAGAGUUGACAUUACCCACAGAAGAAGCACCGGCUAACUCUGUGCCAGCAGCCGCGGUAAUACAGAGGGUGCAAGCGUUAAUCGGAGUUACUGGGCGUAAAGGGCGUGUAGGCGGAUGUUUAAGUCGAUUGUGAAAUACCUGGGCUUAACCUGGGAAUUGCAGUCGAUACUGAAUAUCUAGAGUAUGGGAGAGGAAAGUGGAAUUCCCGGUGUAGCGAUAAAAUGCGUAGAUAUCGGGAGGAACACCAGUGCGAAGGCGGCUUUCUGGACCAAUACUGACGCUGAGGCGCGAAAGCGUGGGGAGCAAACAGGAUUAGAUACCCUGGUAGUCCAUGCUGUAAACGAUGAGAACUAGAUGUCAG